GGUGAAGUUCCCGAGCGGCCAAAGGGAGCAGACGGUAAAUCUGCCGUCACAGACUUCGAAGGUUCGAGUUGAGCGCAGCGAAACAACAAUGCGGCGCUUGCGACGCGUUGGCCCGCAGGGCGAGGAACGCAGUGACGAGUCAUCCUUCCCCCGCCACCA
Molecule: transfer RNA, 159 nt
Filed under: Photorhabdus laumondii subsp. laumondii
Lineage: Bacteria; Pseudomonadati; Pseudomonadota; Gammaproteobacteria; Enterobacterales; Morganellaceae
Also listed under: 1 other name
Description: tRNA-Tyr
Rfam family: RtT RNA (bases 32-153)
About the family: This family represents a bacterial cis-regulatory element known as RtT RNA. The exact function of RtT is unknown although it is thought that it may be involved in changing the cellular response in relation to amino acid starvation.
Source: RNAcentral